GGUCUAAUCAGCGGCCACGCGCAAGCAGCAGCACAGAGCAGGUAGUGGGCAAGAGGAGGAAGAGAAGAGAAGAGAAGAGAAGAGAAGAGAAGAGUAACAGCCACACCUACUAGUAUUGAUGGAGCACUUGAAGAUGGGUCAUUUGGGCGACUAGUAAACGAUGAACACAGGACACCAAAUUGCAGAAUGAAGUUGAUUGAAGCAGAAGGAAGCCACAUCUCUGCCUUUUUGCACUGAAGGAAAUUGCGGCAGGAAGUGAAAUUACUUAUGACUAUGGUGGGAAAGAAUGGCCCUGGCGGAAAAAGCUAAAGAUCGCAAGCAUCCCUUCUGGUCAACAGUGUGUUGCAGAGCCUAUUGCCCAUGACGUGGAGCACCAUGUGAUCUCUACAGACUCAUUCACAGACAGAGAAUUAAGAGCAGAGUGUCAGUCAUCUAGACCUACAGCAGACAACUCUGAGCAUGAGGUGCAUUCUGUUGGAGGUCAGCGUGGCACUUCUUCUCUGAAAGAGUUAAUUGGUGAAGUUGGUGUCCAGUAUCAGGAGUUGUCACCCCAAGCAUUCUCAGAAGAACUUACCAGUGAAAGCAAAUCGAAAGAGGUGCCACAAUCAUCCAGAGCUGUGCCUAAUGACUCUGCUUGUGAGCUAAAGAUCGCAAGCAUCCCUUCUGGUCAACAGUGUGUUGCAGAGCCUAUUGCCCAUGACGUGGAGCACCAUGUGAUCUCUACAGACUCAUUCACAGACAGAGAAUUAAGAGCAGAGUGUCAGUCAUCUAGACCUACAGCAGACAACUCUGAGCAUGAGGUGCAUUCUGUUGGAGGUCAGCGUGGCACUUCUUCUCUGAAAGAGUUAAUUGGUGAAGUUGGUGUCCAGUAUCAGGAGUUGUCACCCCAAGCGUUCUCAGAAGAACUUACCAGUGAGAGCAAAUCGAAAGAGGUGCCACAAUCAUCCAGAGCUGUGCCUAAUGACUCUGCUUGUGAGUGUACAAUUCAUAGGCUGGUAUUUGAAUCGGUGAAACUUGACAAAUGCGGGAUAUGCCAUUCACCUUUGACAGCUAUCAGAUGGCACGGUCUAAGAUGCAAGCAAUGCCGUUGUGUGUGGCAUAAGAUCUGCCUCCAGACAUCUUCAGAAGACUGGGAUAUGUCCGACGGUGAUGUCUCAUCUGAUGAAGAAUACAUCCCAAAUUCUGCAUCAGAUUCAGAAAGCUCAGGAACAGAGUUGUCUAUUGAGUUACCUGGACCAUCAAAAAACUCCCAUGCUGCUAGCAUGCCUGAUUUAUGCGUUACUUUUGCUGAAAAAGAACAGACCAUGGAUGUUAACAACAACUUUGAGCACAUUUUGAAUGAUCUUGAAACUACUGAUGAUCUUCAUCCCGACCAAGAACCAGACAGCUCAGAGUCAUGCCAGCAGAAAACAAAAGAUGCAUGUAGCGAAAAGAGUACUGUGGAUAUUAGCCAAAAUGAAUCCCCAACCAAGUCAACAAAAUUAAUCAAAAGCACAGUCAAUUUUUGUUUUGUGUGUGGAAAACCUCAAACAAAAUUUGCACGUCAUCUGGAGACGCAUGUAAAUGAAAAUGCUGAAGUCGCCCAGGCGCUUCAGUUACCCAAAUCAUCAAAGGACAGAAAAGUUCAUCUUGAAAGGUUACGAAACCUUGGUAACUUCAAGCACAACUCUGCUGUUAAAACCACAGGAUCAGGUUGUCUUAAAGUGAAAAGGAUCUCAAAAAAGAGCAGCAGCAGCGCUGAGACAUACGAGUACUGCUUAUACUGUAAGGGUAUGAUAUCCAGAAAAGAAGUUUCUCGGCAUAUGAAAAGAUGUGCUUUAAGACCAGAGAAUAAUGCUGAAGAGAAGCUGAAAGAUAGAGUCUUUGGUAUAGCAUCUACUCAAUCCACAAUGUCUCAGCCAAUUUCAAGUGAACUCUACUCAGUACUGGGCAAGAUGCACAAGGAUGAUGUGUCUAGUGCAAUAAGGAAUGAUC
Long non-coding RNA from Oreochromis aureus, 1974 nucleotides. Lineage: Eukaryota; Metazoa; Chordata; Actinopteri; Cichliformes; Cichlidae. The record is from Ensembl.